CCUACGGGUGGCAGCAGUGGGGACUAUUGGGCAAUGGGCGCAAGCCUGACCCAGCAACGCCGCGUGAAGGAAGAAGGCUUUCGGGUUGUAAACCUCUUUUGACCGGGACGCGCAGCAGACGGUACCUGUCGAAUCAGCCACGGCUAACUACGUGCCAGCAGCCGCGGUAAUACGUAGGUGGCAAGCGUUGUCCGGAUUUACUGGGUGUAACUGGCGUGUAGUCGGGCGGACAAUUCAGAUGUGAAAUCCGGGGGCUCAACCCCCGAACUGCAUUUGAAACUGUUGGUCGUGAGUAUCGGAGAGGCAGGCGGAAUUCCGAGGGUAGCGGUGAAAUGCGUAGAUAUUAGGAGGAACACCAGUGGCGAAGGCGGCCUGCUGGACGACAACUGACGGUGAGGCGCGAAAGCGUGGGGAGCAAACAGGAUUAGAUACCCCUGUAGUC
This 442-nucleotide ribosomal RNA is filed under the name uncultured bacterium. RNAcentral's name for it is "partial 16S ribosomal RNA". It matches the Rfam family "Bacterial small subunit ribosomal RNA", at positions 338 to 795 of the family's 1533-position model. The record is from RNAcentral.